Molecule: ribosomal RNA, 1618 nt
Filed under: Triticum aestivum (bread wheat)
Lineage: Eukaryota; Viridiplantae; Streptophyta; Magnoliopsida; Poales; Poaceae
Description: partial small subunit ribosomal RNA
Source: RNAcentral
GCCGGCAGAUCCUGCAUGCUUUGCCCGCCGCUGCGCCUCUCCUUCUCUCCCCCGCCUAGCCGGUACCGCCGCCGCUGCUUCCCGCGGAAUAAUAAUAAAAGUAGCCCCCGAUAAAACGGGCCGGCCGCCUCCCUCGGCGCCCGCCUCCCCGACCCGCACGCCACGCGGGACUCACCCACCCUCCCCUUCCCUCCCCCCUCCCUCCCUCUUCCUCCCUAGGAUGCGCGCCUCCCCCCGCCUCCUCCGGCCGGAACCCUAGCCAGGCAGGCGCGCAGCAGGCGGGCCCCCCGCGCCGAUGGGGAGGCCGGGGUACCUGACGCUGCCCAUCUUGGCGGUGCUCGCCGCGAUCGGCUACGUCUACUACACCACGGUCUUCGUCGCCGUCGCCGGCUGGCUCGGCCUCGCCACGGCCGCCGGGGUCGCCAACGCCGCCGCCUUCACGGCCCUCGCCGCCGCCUGCCUCGCCACCUACGCCGCCGCCGUCUCCCGGGACCCCGGCCGGGUGCCGCCCGCCUUCCUGCCCGACGUCGAGGGCGCCGAGACCCCCGUCCACGAGGUCAAGCGCAAGGGUGGUGAUUUGAGAUAUUGCCAGAAAUGUGGCCACUAUAAGCCCCCACGCGCACACCAUUGCCGUGUGUGCAAGAGAUGUGUUCUGAAAAUGGACCAUCACUGUAUUUGGAUUAAUAACUGUGUUGGGCACGAAAACUACAAGAUAUUCUUGGUCUUUGUAUUGUAUGCUGUAAUUGCAAGCCUCUAUUCAAUGAUUCUAAUUGUAGGGAGCGUCAUUCACAGUGCUCCGAAAGAUGAACAGUUAAGCAGUGAUUCUUCUAGAACAUUGAUUAUUAUUUGUGGGAUCAUUCUUUGUCCAUUAACUCUGGCGCUGUCGGUGCUCUUGGGCUGGCAUAUCCACCUCAUAUUACAGAAUAAAACUACAAUUGAGUACCAUGAAGGAGUUAGAGCAAUGUGGUUGGCAGAAAAGGGUGGAGACCUUUAUCAUCAUCCAUAUGACCUUGGUGUCUAUGAGAAUCUUAUUUCGGUGCUUGGGCGUAGCAUAUUCUGCUGGCUCUGCCCAGUAUCAGUCAAUACAGGCAGUGGCCUACGGUUCCGUGCAUCCUAUGAUAUUUUACCAUCUACACCGCCAUGUGAUUUACAAAAGAUAGCAUUACAUUCACAUUGAGGUACAUAGUUGCUAAUAUGAAAAAGGGGAUUGAUAUUCCUAUUCAAGUGCCCAAAGUGUACAAUUUCUGAGCCAUUUCGGAUUGUAACAGGUUAGCGGAUACUUCUUAAAACCCUCAAAUGUAAGAUAUGAGAAAAGAUACAUGCGGAUCCAGAAGUAUUUACACCUCUCCAGGGUUCCGUUUUGAGAUGGUCGUAUUUCCGGUACGAGGAAGAUGACUGCUGCCUCAGCUCAUAAUCCGGUCUCAGCUGUGUUUGUACACAAAAAGUUUAACCCUUGUGUUGUAAAGUGAAUGUACAUGCUGUGUUCGGAAGCAAAAGCAUAUCAAAGCAAAUUUUGCAGAGACUGAGAUGCACGCCUGUUCAGAAGUAAAUGCCACAUUUGCUGUAUACACUCAUCUGCAAUUACAUUAUCUCAGACAUGGAAAUGUCAUUGCUGUGC